GACGAACGCUGGCGGCGUGCCUAAUACAUGCAAGUAGAACGCACAGUUUAUACCGUAGCUUGCUACACCAUAGACUGUGAGUUGCGAACGGGUGAGUAACGCGUAGGUAACCUGCCUGGUAGCGGGGGAUAACUAUUGGAAACGAUAGCUAAUACCGCAUAAUAUUAAUUUUUGCAUGAUAAUUAAUUGAAAGGUGCAAUUGCACCACUACCAGAUGGACCUGCGUUGUAUUAGCUAGUAGGUGAGGUAACGGCUCACCUAGGCGAGGAUACAUAGCCGACCGGAGAGGGUGAUCGGCCACACUGGGAGUGAGACACGGCCCAGACUCCUACGGGAGGCAGCAGUAGGGAAUCUUCGGCAAUGGACGAAAGUCUGACCGAGCAACGCCGCGUGAGUGAAGAAGGUUUUCGGAUCGUAAAGCUCUGUUGUAAGAGAAGAACGGGUGUGAGAGUGGAAAGUUCACACUGUGACGGUAUCUUACCAGAAAGGGACGGCUAACUACGUG
This 505-nucleotide ribosomal RNA is filed under the name uncultured bacterium. Its description in RNAcentral is "partial 16S ribosomal RNA". It matches the Rfam family "Bacterial small subunit ribosomal RNA", at positions 28 to 507 of the family's 1533-position model. The record is from RNAcentral.